This 434-nucleotide ribosomal RNA is filed under the name uncultured Gammaproteobacteria bacterium. Its description in RNAcentral is "bacterial SSU rRNA". It matches the Rfam family "Bacterial small subunit ribosomal RNA", at positions 1091 to 1525 of the family's 1533-position model. The record is from RNAcentral. Lineage: Bacteria; Pseudomonadati; Pseudomonadota; Gammaproteobacteria.
UACGAGCGCACCCUUGUCCUUAGUUGCCAGCGGUUCGGGCGGGAACUCUAAGGAGACUGCCGGUGAUAAACCGGAGGAAGGUGGGGAUGACGUCAAGUCAUCAUGGCCCUUAUGGGCAGGGCUACACACGUGCUACAAUGGCCGGUACAGAGGGGCGCGAACCCGCGAAGGGAAGCAAAUCUCAGAAAACCGGUCCUAGUCCGGAUUGGAGUCUGCAACUCGACUCGCAUGAAGUCGGAAUCGCUAGUAAUCGCGGAUCAGAAUGCCGCGGUGAAUACGUUCCCGGGCCUUGUACACACCGCCCGUCACACCAUGGGAGUGGGUUGCACCAGAAGUAGGUAGUCUAACCUUCGGGAGGACGCUUACCACGGUGUGGUUCAUGACUGGGGUGAAGUCGUAACAAGGUAGCCCUAGGGGAACCUGGGGCUGGAUCA